RNAcentral lists this unclassified non-coding RNA (391 nucleotides) under soil metagenome. RNAcentral describes it as "partial contains 5.8S ribosomal RNA, internal transcribed spacer 2, and large subunit ribosomal RNA". The stretch from base 1 to 122 matches the Rfam family "5.8S ribosomal RNA", at positions 35 to 154 of the family's 154-position model. The record is from RNAcentral.
GAUGAAGAACGCAGUGAAAUGCGAUACUUGGUGUGAAUUGCAGAAUCCCGUGAACCAUCGAGUCUUUGAACGCAAGUUGCGCCCGAAGCCAUUAGGCCGAGGGCACGCCUGCCUGGGCGUCACACGUCGUUGCCCCCCCAUCUACUCCUUCGGGAUUGCGGGGGGCGGAUGAUGGCCUCCCGUGCGCCUCGCCGCGCGGUUGGCAUAAAUGCCAAGUCCUCGGCGACGCACGCCACGACAAUCGGUGGUUGCGAAACCUCGGUUGCCCGUCGUGUGCGGUCGUCGCGCAUCGAGGGCUCGAAAAAAUUGUCGGGCUCCGGCUCGGCUUUCAACGCGACCCCAGGUCAGGCGGGGUUACCCGCUGAAUUUAAGCAUAUCAAUAAGCGGAGGA